CCAGCAGCUGCGGUAAUUCCAGCUCCAAUAGCGUAUAUUAAAGUUGUUGCAGUUAAAAAGCUCGUAGUUGGAUUUCUGGCAGGAGCGACCGGUCACACACUCUGUGUGUGAACUCGUGUUGUCUCUGGCCAUCCUCGGGGAGAUCCUGUUUGGCAUUAAGUUGUCGGGCAGGGGAUACCCGUCGUUUACUGUGAAAAAAUUAGAGUGUUUAAAGCAGGCUUAUGCCGUUGAAUAUAUUAGCAUGGAAUAAUAAGAUAGGACUUCGGAACUAUUUUGUUGGUUUGCGUUACGAAGUAAUGAUUAAUAGGGACAGUUGGGGGUAUUCGUAUUUCGUUGUCAGAGGUGAAAUUCUUGGAUUUCCGAAAGGCGAACUACUGCGAAAGCAUUUACCAAGGAUGUUUUCAUUGAUCAAGAACGAAAGU
RNAcentral lists this ribosomal RNA (422 nucleotides) under uncultured eukaryote. RNAcentral describes it as "SSU rRNA". It matches the Rfam family "Eukaryotic small subunit ribosomal RNA", at positions 567 to 990 of the family's 1831-position model. The record is from RNAcentral.